CAGUAGCCGCGGGAAUACGAAGGGGGCUAGCGUUGCUCGGAAUUACUGGGCGUAAAGGGAGCGUAGGCGGAUCGUUAAGUUGGGGGUGAAAGCCCGGGGCUCAACCUCGGAAUUGCCUUCAAUACUGGCGAUCUUGAGUAUGGAAGAGGUAUGUGGAACUCCGAGUGUAGAGGUGAAAUUCGUAGAUAUUCGGAAGAACACCAGUGGCGAAGGCGACAUACUGGUCCAUUACUGACGCUGAGGCUCGAAAGCGUGGGGAGCAAACAGGAUUAGAUACCCCCGUAGUCCCUGUCUCUUAUAC
RNAcentral lists this ribosomal RNA (301 nucleotides) under uncultured bacterium. RNAcentral describes it as "partial 16S ribosomal RNA". It matches the Rfam family "Bacterial small subunit ribosomal RNA", at positions 509 to 807 of the family's 1533-position model. The record is from RNAcentral.